This 681-nucleotide ribosomal RNA is filed under the name Axonolaimus paraspinosus. RNAcentral's name for it is "eukaryotic LSU rRNA". It matches the Rfam family "Eukaryotic large subunit ribosomal RNA", at positions 367 to 944 of the family's 3401-position model. The record is from RNAcentral. Lineage: Eukaryota; Metazoa; Nematoda; Chromadorea; Araeolaimida; Axonolaimidae.
CAAAGAACUUUGAAGAGAGAGUUCAAGAGGGCGUGAAACCGAUUAGAGGGAAACGGGUAGAGCCAAUGAAAGCCAGCAGCAUUCAGCCUUUGUGCAAGCAAGGGUGUAUUUGCUGCUGGUAGCGCUGAAAGGGGUGACACUUGUUUCUGAAGCUGAUUCAGAGGACCACAUUUGUGGAACCCUGGGCCAGUCAAAGAGAUCUUGUGUCACCUUAGUGGUGUCUGCUCUGGCAACGGCGCCCAUCUGGGUUGUCGAGUGGCCUUGGUGGUGCAGGGGAGCUUGCUCCCCGGCUGCUCUGGUUGCUUGAGAAUUGUAGAAGGGCAUGAACACUGUUUCAGUGUCAAAGUUGGCGGCCUACCUGACCCGUCUUGAAACACGGACCAAGGAGUCUAACAUGUGCGCAAGUUUAAAGGUGGUAAGCUUAAAAAGCGCAAUGAAAGUAAAGGUCAGUUUAACUGGCUUAUAUGGGACCAGGACUUAACCGUUGUGGGCACCAUAGUCCCGUCGCGUCUGCAUGUCAGUGCGGCGGAGACAGAGCGUACACGUUGGGACCCGAAAGAUGGUGAACUAUGCCUGAGCAGGAUGAAGCCAGGGGAAACUCUGGUGGAGGUCCGAAGCGGUUCUGACGUGCAAAUCGAUCGUCAGACUUGGGUAUAGGGGCGAAAGACUAAUCGAACCAUC